GCUCAGAACGAACGCUGGCGGCGCGUCUUAAGCAUGCAAGUCGAACGGCAACCUACCUCGGGUAGGCUAGAGUGGCGGACUGGUGAGUAACGCGGUGGUGACCUGCCCUCGAGAUGGGGAUAGCCAUUAGAAAUAGUGGAUAAUACCGAAUACGCUUUUUUAACUGUGGUAGAAAAAGGAAAGGAGCUUAGGCUCCACUCGAGGAUGGGCCCGCGUCCCAUUAGCUAGUUGGUGAGGUAAAGCCCACCAAGGCGAUGAUGGGUAUCCGGCCUGAGAGGGUGAUCGGACACAUUGGGACUGAGAUACGGCCCAAACUCCUACGGGAGGCAGCAGCUAAGAAUAUUCCGCGAUGGACGAAAGUCUGACGGAGCGACGCCGCGUGAAAUGGUGAAGGCCGAAAGGUUGUAAAGUUCUUUUGUUGAUGAAGAAUAAUCGUUGUAGGGAAUGACAGCGAGAUGACGGUAAUCGAUGAAUAAGCCCCGGCUAACUACGUGCCAGCCGCCGC
Molecule: ribosomal RNA, 505 nt
Filed under: uncultured bacterium
Lineage: Bacteria
Description: bacterial SSU rRNA
Rfam family: Bacterial small subunit ribosomal RNA
Source: RNAcentral